GUUAUAAUUCUAGCCGAAACAACCUAAUCCUACCAAUAAACCAAAUAAACCAUUUAAUCAAAGAGUAUAGGUGAUAGAAAUUUUUUAAGAGCAAUAGAGAAAGUACUGUGAAGGAAAGAUGAAAUAAAAUUGAAAUAGAUAAUAAACAAAAGAAAGAAAAGAUUAAACCCUCUACCUUUUGCAUAAUGGUCUAGUAAGUCUAACCUAACAAAAAGAAAUAAAGUCAGCCCCCCCGAAACUAGACGAGCUACUUAAAAACAGCACUAUUAGAGCCAACCCGUCUCUGUGGCAAAAGAGUGGGACGAUUUUUGAGUAGAGGUGAAAAGCCUAACGAGCCUAGUGAUAGCUGGUUGCUUGAGAAAUGAAUAUAAGUUCAGCUUAAAGCACUCUAAAUUUAACAAAAAAUAAAAAUAGCACUUUAAAGUUAGUUAAUAGGGGUACAGCCCUAUUAACAAAGGACACAACCUACACCCUGAAUAAAGAUUAUAUUAAUAAAAGAAAUUAACCGUGUAGGCCUAAAAGCAGCCAUCACAAGAAAGCGUCAAAGCUCAGCUUAAUAACCCCCCUUAUUAUACGAAUAAAAAAAUCUAAAUUCACAAAAAUAUCAAGCCUAUCUACUAAGUAGAUGAGUUUAUACUAGAAUGAGUAACAAGAAAACAUUCUCUGUAUGCAAGCGUAAAUCAGAACGAAAAAAUCACUGAUAAUUAACGGACACAAAUAUUUAGCUACAAGAAAAGCAUAUUUAAACAACCGUUAACCCGACACAGGAGCAUUUAAGAAGAUUAAAAGAUUAAAAAGGAACUCGGCAACCAAGAAUUUCGCCUGUUUACCAAAAACAUCGCCUCUUGCUACACCCAGUAUAAGAGGUCUCGCCUGCCCAGUGAUAAUUUUAACGGCCGCGGUAUCAUGACCGUGCAAAGGUAGCGUAAUCACUUGUCUUUUAAAUAAAGACCCGUAUGAAAGGCAAAACGAAAAUUCAACUGUCUCUUUAAUCUAAUCAGUGAAAUUAAUCUCUCCGUGCAGAAGCGGAGAUAACCAUAUAAGACGAGAAGACCCUAUGGAGCUUUAAACAUGAAAUUAACCACACAAACCAACAACCAACAGGUAAAAAAUAAAAAUGUGUGGCCAUACCCUGAGUUUUCGGUUGGGGCGACCACGGAAGAAGAAAAUCCUCCGAGAUAAAUAACUUAGAACAACACUUCAAAGACUAAAACACUUGCUAUAAAAUGAUCCACUAAGUGACCAACGAACCAAGUUACCCUAGGGAUAACAGCGCAAUCCUUUCUAAGAGUCCAUAUCGACGAAUGGGUUUACGACCUCGAUGUUGGAUCAGGACACCCAAAUGGUGCAGCCGCUAUUAAAGGUUCGUUUGUUCAACGAUUAAAGUCCUACGUGAUCUGAGUUCAGACCGGAGUAAUCCAGGUCAGUUUCUAUCUAUAACAAAUUUUUUCUAGUACGAAAGGACCGAAAAAAUAGAGCCCAUUGUGAACAACGCUCUUAUAUUACUGAAGACAAAUAAAGUCCUACAAAAAACACACCUUUAAAAUAAAGGACAA
This 1556-nucleotide ribosomal RNA is filed under the name Calotriton asper (Pyrenean brook newt). RNAcentral's name for it is "16S ribosomal RNA". It matches the Rfam family "Bacterial large subunit ribosomal RNA", at positions 425 to 2831 of the family's 2925-position model. Lineage: Eukaryota; Metazoa; Chordata; Amphibia; Caudata; Salamandridae. The record is from RNAcentral.